CAAUAGCGUAUAUUAAUGUUGUUGCAGUUAAAAAGCUCGUAGUUGGAUUUCUGGUGGGAACGCCGGUCCGGCUCCGCAAGGGGUCGUGAAUUGGUUUCUCCUGCCAUCCUCAGGGGGAGCUGCGCUGGUAUUCAUUUAUCGGUGUAGUCACGCCUGUCGUUUACUGUGAACAAAUUAGAGUGUUCAAAGCAAGGUGUACUUGAAUACAUUAGCAUGGAAUAAUAAGAUAGGACUUUGGUGGUUCUUUUUUGAUAUUUUGUUGGUUUGCACGCCAAAGUAAUGAUUAAUAGGAGCAGUUGGGGGUAUUCGUAUUCAAUUGUCAGAGGUGAAAUUCUUGGAUUUAUAGAAGACGAACUACUGCGAAAGCAUUUACCAAGGAUGUUUUCAUUAA
This 391-nucleotide ribosomal RNA is filed under the name uncultured eukaryote. RNAcentral's name for it is "partial 18S ribosomal RNA". It matches the Rfam family "Eukaryotic small subunit ribosomal RNA", at positions 592 to 976 of the family's 1831-position model. The record is from RNAcentral.